Dallia pectoralis (Alaska blackfish) is the source of this 69-nucleotide non-coding RNA. The record is from the annotation of a GenBank genome assembly. Lineage: Eukaryota; Metazoa; Chordata; Actinopteri; Esociformes; Umbridae.
CCCUGUGUAGCUCAGUUGGUAGAGCAUGGCACUUGUAACGCCAGGAUUGUGAUUCAAAUCCAAUGGGGA